AUGGCCUACGGGAGGCAGCAGUGGGGAAUAUUGCACAAUGGGGGAAACCCUGAUGCAGCAACGCCGCGUGAGUGAGGAAGGAUUUCGGAAUGUAAAGCUCUAUCAGCAGGGAAUAGAAAAGAAGGUACCUGAAAAAGAAGCCCCGGCUAACUACGUGCCAGCAGCCGCGGUAAUACGUAGGGGGCAAGCGUUAUCCGGAUUUACUGGGCGGAAAGGGAGCGGAGACGGAAAGGCAAGU
RNAcentral lists this ribosomal RNA (238 nucleotides) under uncultured bacterium. RNAcentral's name for it is "partial 16S ribosomal RNA". It matches the Rfam family "Bacterial small subunit ribosomal RNA", at positions 334 to 588 of the family's 1533-position model. The record is from RNAcentral.